RNAcentral lists this ribosomal RNA (476 nucleotides) under Lygodactylus tolampyae. RNAcentral describes it as "partial 16S ribosomal RNA". It matches the Rfam family "Bacterial large subunit ribosomal RNA", at positions 1928 to 2597 of the family's 2925-position model. The record is from RNAcentral. Lineage: Eukaryota; Metazoa; Chordata; Lepidosauria; Squamata; Gekkonidae.
CGGCCGCGGUAUCCUAACCGUGCAAAGGUAGCGCAAUCACUUGCCCUUUAAUUAAGGGCUUGUAUGAAUGGUUACAUGAGGGUCUAACUGUCUUCUAAGACCCCUCAAUGAAUUUGAUGACUCAGUACAAACGCUGAAAUAAUCUCACAAGACGAGAAGACCCUGUGGAACUUCAAGUUCCUAAGCUAGCAAGCAUAGUCUCACACCAUUAGGCCUAGCAAAAACUUUCAGUUGGGGCAACUACGGGGAAUAAAAAAACCCCCGCGGACUGCAGGUACCCCCUGCACCCAAAGGCUUACACGCCUAAAACCAGAUCCAGCCUGACUGAUCUACGAACCAAGCUACCCCAGGGAUAACAGCGCUAUCCCCCUCAAGAGUCCAUAUCGUCAGGGGGGUUUACGACCUCGAUGUUGGAUCAGGAGACCCCGGCGGUGCAGCCGCUGCCAAAGGCUCGUUUGUUCAACGAAUAAUGUCCU